Molecule: ribosomal RNA, 96 nt
Filed under: Trichuris sp. GHL-2013
Lineage: Eukaryota; Metazoa; Nematoda; Enoplea; Trichinellida; Trichuridae
Description: partial 28S ribosomal RNA
Rfam family: Eukaryotic large subunit ribosomal RNA (bases 31-96)
Source: RNAcentral
CGGCGUUCCUCCACCCGUACUUCUCGCUGUUGACCUCAGAUCAGACGAGGCUACCCGCCUAACUUAAGCAUAUCGUUAAGCGGAGGAAGAAACUAA